ACAUCCAGAGAAUUUAGCAGAGAUGCUUUAGUGCCUUCGGGAACUCUGAGACAGGUGCUGCAUGGCUGUCGUCAGCUCGUGUUGUGAAAUGGUUGGGUUAAGUCCCGNAACGAGCGCAACCCUUAUCCUUUGUGCCAGCACGUAAUGGUGGGAACUCAAAGGAGACUGCCGGUGAUAAACCGGAGGAAGGUGGGGAUGACGUCAAGUCAUCAUGGCCCUUACGAGUAGGGCUACACACGUGCUACAAUGGCGCAUACAAAGAGAAGCGACCUCGCGAGAGCAAGCGGACCUCAUAAAGUGCGUCGUAGUCCGGAUUGGAGUCUGCAACUCGACUCCAUGAAGUCGGAAUCGCUAGUAAUCGUAAAUCAGAAUGUUACGGUGAAUACGUUCCCGGGCCUUGUACACACCGCCCGUCACACCAUGGGAGUGGGUUGCAAAAGAAGUAGAUAGCUUAACCUUCGGGAGGGCGUUUACCACUUUGUGAUUCAUGACUGGGGUGAAGUCGUAACAAGGUAAGCGUAGUGCU
RNAcentral lists this ribosomal RNA (526 nucleotides) under uncultured bacterium. RNAcentral describes it as "bacterial SSU rRNA". It matches the Rfam family "Bacterial small subunit ribosomal RNA", at positions 984 to 1509 of the family's 1533-position model. The record is from RNAcentral.